GCCAGCAGUUAGCUCUCUGCAACUCUCACAUGGUCACCCACUGAAGCUAAGCAGGGCUGCGCCCGGUCAGUUCCUGGAUGGGAGACCACAUGGGAAUGCUAGGUUGCUGCUGAAA
Danio rerio (zebrafish) is the source of this 115-nucleotide non-coding RNA. The record is from Rfam. NCBI's taxonomy places the organism in Eukaryota, Metazoa, Chordata, Actinopteri, Cypriniformes, Danionidae.